AUACGGAGGGUGCAAGCGUUGUUCGGAAUCACUGGGCGUAAAGGGCGCGCAGGCGGUUUGGUAAGUCAGAUGUGAAAGCCCACGGCUUAACCGUGGAAGUGCAUUUGAAACUGUCAGACUUGAGUAUCAGAGGGGAAAGUGGAAUUCCCGGUGUAGAGGUGAAAUUCGUAGAUAUCGGGAGGAAUACCGGUGGCGAAGGCGACUUUCUGGCUGAAUACUGACGCUGAGGCGCGAAAGCGUGGGGAGCAAACAGGAUUAGAUACCCUAGUAGUCC
Molecule: ribosomal RNA, 274 nt
Filed under: uncultured bacterium
Lineage: Bacteria
Description: partial 16S ribosomal RNA
Rfam family: Bacterial small subunit ribosomal RNA
Source: RNAcentral